GGCUGAUAGCCGAAGGAGGUAUAGGAAAGGCUAAUGAAAGGGAUGCCCAGGGUCUGCUGUUGCUCAUCGGGUGUUUCGGGAUUCCACAAGGAUUUAUGGAUCGGGAUAUCAGAUUUUUGUUCAAGGCAGGUGGCGCCAUGGGGAUUUUUGGUGCCCUUAGGAGAUCAAGAGUUCUCAUGGAAAAGAUUCCACAAAUAAUACAGUGGAUGUUGAAUAACUCUUUAGUUGUUGGGGCCAUUGACAUUGCCUA
Molecule: unclassified non-coding RNA, 250 nt
Filed under: Hevea brasiliensis (rubber tree)
Lineage: Eukaryota; Viridiplantae; Streptophyta; Magnoliopsida; Malpighiales; Euphorbiaceae
Source: RNAcentral